UUUCACUUAUACUUUUUUGGUAUAUAUACAUAUAUAUAAAGUUUUCAUGAUAUGGCUCUUUUCAUAUUGCUGGUUGAAGGAACUCAACUCUGCCAUGAUGUCAUAGAUCCUAAAAGGGCCCCAAAGCUGUAUGGAGUCUGUUGAUAUUGUACUUUGACAUGGCCUGUCAUCAUUCUAAUGUGAGGAUAAGUGAAGUAGCUCAGGUCCACCUUCUGCAAAGUCAUGGUUCUUCAGCAUCUAUCAAAAAAAAUUUUUUUUCAAAUGCUUCAUACUUAUUACACUCAAACAGUGCCUGUGAAAUACCAAAAUAUUUAUGACUCGUUUGAAAUUUGGGACCUUAUUAAUAGCUUUAUUAUAUUGGUUUUCCUGUUAUUAGUCUUCUGGCAUUCCUAUAUCCAUCUGCAUAUUUUUGAAGCAAUUCUCAG
Molecule: long non-coding RNA, 425 nt
Filed under: Bos taurus (domestic cattle)
Lineage: Eukaryota; Metazoa; Chordata; Mammalia; Artiodactyla; Bovidae
Description: long non-coding RNA NONBTAT022344
Source: RNAcentral